This is a non-coding RNA of Rhizobium mesoamericanum STM3625, 155 nucleotides long. The record is from Rfam. Lineage: Bacteria; Pseudomonadati; Pseudomonadota; Alphaproteobacteria; Hyphomicrobiales; Rhizobiaceae.
UGCCGGCUUUCCAACAGCCGGGGUUACUGAAGAGGCACACCUUCAUUGCCGGAAGUGCGGUGGGAUCUCCCUCCAAUCCAUGGCAGACAAAGCCGAACUAUGCCGUGUCAGCGGCGUUGGUUCAUUAUCUGCGCGAUCAGGCGCUUGCAAGGUUC